UACGGAAGAGGCAAGCGUUGUUCGGAAUCAUUGGGCUUAAAGGGUGUGUAGGCGGAAUUGAAGGUACUUUGUGAAAGCCCCCGGCUCAACCGGGGAAUCGCUUGGUAAACCACAAUUCUUGAGGUCAGCAGGGGCAUCUGGAACUAUGGGUGGAGCGGUGAAAUGCGUAGAUAUCCAUGGGAACGCCGAUGGCGAAAGCAGGGUGCUGGGCUGAUUCUGACGCUGAGACACGAAAGCGUGGGGAGCAAACACG
Molecule: ribosomal RNA, 253 nt
Filed under: uncultured bacterium
Lineage: Bacteria
Description: partial 16S ribosomal RNA
Rfam family: Bacterial small subunit ribosomal RNA
Source: RNAcentral